GACGAACGCUGGCGGCGUGCUUAACACAUGCAAGUCGAACGGUGAAGCGAGUGCUUGCACUCGUGCAUCAGUGGCGAACGGGUGAGUAACACGUGAGUAACCUGCCCUUUACUCUGGGAUAACCACUGGAAACUGUGUCUAAUACUGGAUACGACCUACCCCUGCAUGGUGUGUUGUUGGAAAGUUCUGCCGGUGAUGGAUGGACUCGCGGUCUAUCAGCUUGUUGGCGGGGUAAUGGCUCACCAAGGCGCCGACGGUUAGCCGGCCUGAGAGGGUGACCGGCCACACUGGGACUGAGACACGGCCCAGACUCCUACGGGAGGCAGCAGUGGGGAAUAUUGCACAAUGGGCGGAAGCCUGAUGCAGCAACGCCGCGUGCGGGAUGACGGCCUUCGGGUUGUAAACCUCUUUCAGCAGGGAAGAAGCGAAAGUGACGGUACCUGGAAAAGAAGCACCGGCUAACUACGUG
RNAcentral lists this ribosomal RNA (469 nucleotides) under uncultured bacterium. RNAcentral describes it as "partial 16S ribosomal RNA". It matches the Rfam family "Bacterial small subunit ribosomal RNA", at positions 28 to 507 of the family's 1533-position model. The record is from RNAcentral.